This 262-nucleotide long non-coding RNA is filed under the name Homo sapiens (human). Its description in RNAcentral is "HSALNT0124014". The record is from RNAcentral. Lineage: Eukaryota; Metazoa; Chordata; Mammalia; Primates; Hominidae.
AGGCACUUCUCAGUUCCCAGAUGGUGGGCAGCCGCCAGAGGCGCUCCUCACUUCCUAGAGGGCUGGCUGCCUGGCAGAGGCACUCCUCACUUCUCAGAUGGUUGGCAUCCGGGCAGAGGUGCUCCUCACUUCCCAGAUGGUGGGCAGCCUUUCAGUUCCCAGACCGUGGUAAGCCAGGCACAAGCGCUCAUCACUUCCCAGACAGGGACGCGGCCAGGCAGAGGUGCUCCUCGUUUCCCAGAUGGUUGGCAGCUGGGCAGAG